Molecule: long non-coding RNA, 363 nt
Filed under: Oryza brachyantha (malo sina)
Lineage: Eukaryota; Viridiplantae; Streptophyta; Magnoliopsida; Poales; Poaceae
Description: long non-coding RNA (OBRA_LNC000731)
Source: RNAcentral
AUUUUUCUUCGAUUAAUCUUAGAAUUUCUAGCAUAUAUGUAUAAUAUAUCCUUGUCCGAUUCCACACAAACAUGAUUUUUUUUCUUUUAUUUCACAUGGUUUUUUUAAAACAAUUCCUAGUUUGAUUCCACGUGCGUAUGCAGUAUUUUUUUUUCUUUUUUCCUCUUAUUUUUCCACGGUUGUAACAAACUGUGUAGGUAGUUUUCCUUUUUUAAAAAAACUUUCUAGUCCGAUUCCACUUAAAAAAAUAAAAUAAAGUUACUUUUUUUUCUUUUUUACUCUUGUUUUUCCACGGUUGUAACAAACUGUUUAGGUAGUUUUCCUUUUUUUAAAAAAACUUCCUAGUCCGAUUCCACUUUAAAA